CAGUCAGCGUGAGCGUGAGCGUGGCCCGCCACAUAUAGACCUAGCGGGUUAGGGGCGUAGGAGGAGCGCAACUGCGUGCGUCGGCGCCGAUGGGGUCCUGUUGUCCAUCCUGUGAUGACUUCUUCCACUACGAGUGGCAGGUGUCAACGUCGUUUUUUGUUUAUCGUAACUCGCGUUGUCGGACGUAUGACUACAAGAGGGACGAGGAGAAGUAAAAAACAAGUGAAGUCUGGUAUGAGGAGUUGUUAUUUGGAAAGCAGUAGUGGUGACGUAGAAGAUCUAGUAACGUACUCUAGCUGAGGUUAAGUUUCGGAUAAUUGCCCGAAGUUUUUUAAAGUAACCUCCAAUAACGAUUGGACUCACGGUCGUUCCACCUUUGACCUGUCGUCUACCUUCCGCCGUGAGUAUUGUAAUGGUUGCACUGACUCUUACGCCGUAGACCUACCUCGUAACACUUCCUCCUCGACUGUAAAAGUCGACCUUCACGGGGAAAGUCAUCGACGGUACGAAGGUGGUAACAUCUCUAACCCUUUCUGUUGAAAAACCACCGAAUAAAACCACCUAGGUUCCUUCCACGAGGCCUACAGUUUUAGACCAACGUCUCUAUGUCACUACCAGUGACCGUAGGAGGUCUUCAACGACUACUUGUUCUACCCCACGGGUACACCUUAGGACAUGAUAAAGUCGAGGGAAGAGUACUCGACGAGGAGAAGAUGUUCUAACCAGUCCUUCAAGUCUUCACCUCACCACGGUACUUUUCUAGCGACCUACCACCGUAUAGGACCAGUCUCUCUCUCGUCGAUGGCGGACCAUAAGAACCGGGAUAAUUCUUGUUCGGAAAGGACGAACUUCUACCAGCGGACGAUACACCCAGGAGCCAUCUUUCGACCUUGAGAACCCCACGUACCAACCUCCAGUGUUUUCUACCACCGUCCUGUACCGCCUUCGUGCCAGGAUAUAUGUAUCUUCCACUUUGUGAACCCCACUAAGUCGGUCAAGGUAUGGUUUGACGGUUACCCUGUUAAGCCUACGAAAACGCUAGAAAACUCUGUUAACCGGCACAGACGGACCGCCUAAGACGUCUACCUCCACACUGUACCUCGAUGCGCGUGUUCUGACUCGAAGGAUUAGGUUUGAGACCCUAGCUACCUCAAUUCUACUUCCUACCUUCUCAUGAUCAACGAAUGUUGUGAAAGAGGUCCCCGUGUGAAUUCUAACGUCAGAGGUGCCUACUGCCACUAAGUACCUUGCUCCAUUACUGUGAUCUCCUGUGGUUUCCAUACCUCAAGAGUAUAGGACGCCAUUAGGUCUGGUACCUACUCGAGCAUGUAUAAUGUAUGUGUAUGUUGGCCUGCGUCUAAUUCGUACAGCAAGAAGCUGUAUCACUCUGUACUUUAACAUUCAGACACUGAUGACCCUCUGAGUACCAUCGUUAGGUUCCUUGAAGUUAAGUAGGGGCGGAUGAACCACACUGGUAACGUAGUCAAACACAAACGAGUAUUUUAUCACGUUGGCUAUUUAUUAAAAUGUCCGACUAGUAUUAUUUACAUUAUCAUACUUGUUCACGUAUACACUAACCGCUAAAUCGUAUUCCGCAAGGAAUAUACCGUCAAUAAAGGGAAGUAAGAAACAACACACUUGGUUUGAUGUAACAAGAAAAGGGGGGAGCUUGGUAACAAGAGAACCAGUACAAACAGUGGCACUACGUUGAAGGUUGCUUGUUUCACGAUUGACAAUAGUGCUAUUUCGUCAAAGGUA
This 1758-nucleotide ribosomal RNA is filed under the name Triticum aestivum (bread wheat). RNAcentral's name for it is "partial small subunit ribosomal RNA". The record is from RNAcentral. Lineage: Eukaryota; Viridiplantae; Streptophyta; Magnoliopsida; Poales; Poaceae.